GUGAACCCAGCUGAAUACAGUCAAAAUCAGCAUGUAAUAGCUUAAAGGUAAAAUAAAAUGUUGUUAGCUGUGGUUUAUUAAUUAUUGUGCGCAAAUGAUCUGCAAAACAACAGCGAUUAUACUUCAAAAACAAUCAAUAACUCAGAAGUACUUUCAGAUGUCAACACGGGGGAAGUAUGUUACAGUUCACGCAGAGUCCAAGUUGCUGUGGCAAGAUGUGAUAUAAGGGCCAGUUCCCAGCCUGAAGACAUGAAAAUGGAUGCACUGUGCAUGUGCAGCUCCUUUCCCGGCCAGCGCAUACAUAGGAAGCCCAAGGCACGCUAGGAGCUGUAGUACCUGAACUCUGAACUCCCGAUUUAAGUAAAGUAUUUUUGGGUUUCAUAACAUUUGGCUAACAACUGCACCAUCAAUCGGUUCUUAGUGUUGCUGUGGUCAGAUUAAAGCAAAACAAAGUACUUUUAAAGCUGGAACCAACAUUUUAUUAUUACUUUCCAUCUUCAAAUCCUAUGAUCUACACAUAAUAUUAUUCCAAUGAUUGUACCUCCAAGUAUUUUACUGUGAUAUGGAAUGUCAUUCAUUCUUUGGUAUCUAUAAUGCUUGAUUGACACACUAUUAUACAAAAAGAGAGGGGAUAGGAGCUAACUGAAUAGAUAAUUGUAAAAUAUGUUUUUGUCUUGGAAGUAAUAUAUUGUAAGUGAGUUCAGAAAGUCAUCUUCAUGGGUAAGCUUAACAUAUAUCCCACAGUUACCCACUGAGUAUUUUGUUUCAGUUCAAUAGCUUAUUUUGUUUGUUUUAAUGAGAGGGUGCUGUAAACAUGGAGGGCUAGUCAUAGUUAUGUGAGAUAUUUUUCAAUUCUUAUCCUAACUGUUUGGACUCCAUCCAUCUCAACGAUUCUCAAAAGAGAAAAUAACUGGUUGAAGCAUUCCACUCUGAAUUUUACAUGCUUGAGAGGUGGCACCAAGUGAUAACUUCAGAUUUUCAAAUUUUAAGCUUUUCACUACAGUUAGUAUUCAAAAGAAUCAUCUUAAAUUAAUCUCCAAUUUUAGCAGACAAAACUCCAGAACAUAUGUUUUCAAACUGGGACCUAUGGACCAGGAGAGUCAGUGAGGGUUCCCAAGGAGAUUGUGAGGCCUAUGGAUUUCUGACUGGAGCUGGGUAUUUCACAUCUGCUGAGCAGUUUCUGGAACAUUCUGUAUUUGUAUGGGAUUUUUCUGAGUUUGCUAACUUCUCCAGAAAUGUUGUUGUUGAUUUUUGAGUAGUUGGAAUUGUAUUUUGUAUACUGGGGAUGCCUGGAAAGGAGUUGCUAUUAGCAGAAGUUCCCUCAUACAGAAGUUUGAAAAGCAUUGCUCUAGUCUAGGCCAUUACUCUCCUUACAUUUCUUAUGGUGUUUUACUUCCUUUACCAUACUCACAUUUAUAAAAUGAAACUGAUUCCUUAUAUAUUAACUCAAAAAUAAAACUUGAAAAA
This is a long non-coding RNA of Carcharodon carcharias (great white shark), 1467 nucleotides long. RefSeq lists it as uncharacterized. The record is from RefSeq and is a predicted model, not a curated record. NCBI's taxonomy places the organism in Eukaryota, Metazoa, Chordata, Chondrichthyes, Lamniformes, Lamnidae. The transcript is spliced from 2 exons.